Long non-coding RNA from Poeciliopsis prolifica (blackstripe livebearer), 6099 nucleotides. RefSeq lists it as uncharacterized. The transcript is spliced from 3 exons. NCBI's taxonomy places the organism in Eukaryota, Metazoa, Chordata, Actinopteri, Cyprinodontiformes, Poeciliidae. The record is from RefSeq and is a predicted model, not a curated record.
GUGGACUCAGCGCUGUCUACCUUCAUGUGGAGAAAGAAGCUGCUGCUGCUGCGCUCUUCGACUCCCCUCUCCUCCUCAUCCGUCCUCUCCGGAUCGGGUCUUUCGUGCUAGGGAUUCGCUUUCCUGGAGUCUCGGUCCUCCAUGUACGAUAACCUCUACCGUCAUGGCUUCGAAGACUCGGAGGCGGGCUCGGCUGAUUCCUACAGCAUGUUCCAAAUUAUUAUGCAAAUUGGAUUAAAGUUUGGCAAAGAUUAUUAUUUUUUUCUUUCUCAAUUAAACUCAUGGAUGAUAUUGUGUCUCAGGGCUCUUUGGAUCACUGAAAUCAAUCUCAGAUCAAUCCGAGACAACUAGUUUGUCUGGUGAGCUCAAUUCAAGGAGAACUACUUAAGGCUGUUCCACAUUAUUCAGCAGGCCACAGGUUUCAAGCAACAUGGGCAAGAGAAAGGAUCUCUCUGCUGCCGAAAAGCGUCAGAUAGUGCAAUGCCUCGGGCAAGGUAUGAAAACACUGGACGUGUCGCGAAGACUUAAGCGCGAUCAUCGCACCGUGAAGAGGUUUGUGGCCGACUCGGAGCACAGACGGGCUCGCGCAGACAAAGGCAGGAUGAGGAAGGUCUCUGCCAGGCAAGUUCGCCGGAUUAAGAAAGCAGCUGCCAGAAUGCCCUCGCAAAGCAGCAAGCAGUUAUUUGAAGCUGCUGGUGCCUCCGGAGUCCCGCGGACCUCGAGGUGUCGGAUCCUCGAAAGGCUCGCGGUGGUGCGUAAGCCUGCGAUUCGUCCCCUGACCAGCGCUCACAAGCAAGGGCGUAAAUCCCGUCUCGUUAUCGGGGCGGACCGCAAACAGGAAGGUCCCUUAAGACCAAUUUUGGGGGCGUCGGCAAAGUCAGAGUGAAAUGUGACGCAAAACGUGGUUCAGAAGGUUUUGAAAUCACAUUGAAGUUGCAGGACUAAAAAUGACUAGUAAUGCACAUCAAAUGUGUUUUUCUGAGUAACGCAACCUGUUGAGAAGUAAAGCUAAAAUUCAAAUGUUGCUUCAAUACGAGUUUUGUUCAGUCUGACUGAUCUAAUCUCUUCUGCACCUUCAGAAAACUUUUAAGGUUCGAAAUUAAAAUGCUUAGAGAAACUGCUCUGAAUAAAAUUCCUCAUAAACAUUGAUGUAUUGUAAUGGCUCCCAAUACAAGUUAUGGGCUAUUUAAAUUACAUUAAAUAUCUGGGGAAUAUCAUAACUUAAAUGUAACAUUUAAAGCACCAGGUUUUAUAUAGGAAAAUAUUCCGAUUUUAUUUUGUGGUUUUAAAGGCUCUACAAUGAAGACGGUGAGAAAUAAAGGCAGAACUUUUAGUUUUUUCUAUCUGUUCUCGGCUCCCACGCACAGAGCCGGGUCCACUUCCUCAGCCCCUCCCUCCGGUUUCAAACUCUUCCAAUUAACUAAAAGUCAAAGAGCUAAUCAUGAAUGAGACAUAUGCUGCCUUUCACAAAAAAGCUUAAUUUAGUAGAUAAACAGUGGAUUUUGAGUUUUUUUAUUUUUGUUUUUGAAGGAUAUACUGUUAUCAUUGGGAGGUUUGUCCAGUAAAAUUCAAUUUAUACUCGUAACAGGAGAUGACUUUUAUUACACGGGCUGGUUUGCAUCGACCAUUUAGGAAAAUCAGGGGAAAACAUCAUUUGCAUAAUAAUUUGGAACAUGGUGCACACAAGCCGACCGUCUGACUCAGAUGUGUCCCUGGAGGAGGAGAAGGAGGGCGGCCGGCAGGAGAGGGAGCAGCAGGCCACCGUUCAGCUCGAGAGGGCAAAGAGUAAAGCAGUGACAUUUGCGGUGAGAACCAACGUCGGCUACUGCGGAGCGCUGGAAGAGGACGUUCCUGUCCCGGGCACCGCCGAUGGAGGAGGACGACCAAGACCUCUACCAAGACUCUUACAAGCCUCACCACAAUCGCGGAUCCCCCAGAGGCUACAGCCAGGACUCUUCCAGGCAGAGGCUGUGAGCCGAUACUUAGGCGUGUCGCGAUAAACGAUAAAUCAAUUAAUCGCACGAUAAAUUAAAACUAUCGACCUCAUUUCAAUUAUCGGCUAUAUAAUUUCUUCCUGCCUUUUUCUCUUACUGUGAUGAUCAAAGAACACCUGAGGUUAUGAAUGCUUGUGCUUCAGAACACCAGUUCAUAUCCAACCAACUCUUCAAAACUCAGCACUGUUUCAGCACACGAAUUUUCACGAUGGCGGAAAUGCUAGUCGGCUUGUGUCUUCCUCUUGGUUUUGGAAUCGGUUAUGUUGUUACAACCGGAAUGAGGAAAUUGUGUGAUCAACUAUUUCAUGGAAGAGAAGAUGAAAAAGGUACCUCUCAGGAAAAGAACACUCCAUCUGGGUACGAUGUUUUUUGACGAUUUUUUCUUCAACCCAUCCUCGACUGUGAAGCAAGUUGAGGAUGUGACCUUGCUUCACAGGUUAUGAUGAUUUUGAUUCUUUUCUUUUUGAUCCUUCUUAGCUAACGACUUUUUUUAUUCAUUUUUUUUCUGAUCUGUCCUCGACAGAGAAGCAAACCUCCCCACCUGGGGAGGUUUGCAGUAGUGAUGAAUUUGAUCCUCUUCGUUUCGAUCCUUCCCCGUCUGGGGAAGUUUGCUCGUCUGGAAACAUUGUCAUCGAUUCUCUUUCUUUCAAUCCUUCCCCUGCUGGGGAAGUUUUCCCUGAAGCAUCGACUGUCAAGACAGAAGAUGCAAGCUUGGUUCUACAGAAGACGACAUCUGGUGACAGUAUCGAUGAAGAAAAUACAAUUUCAUCACAAAAUCUUUCUACAACAACGGAUAUCUUUCUUGAGGAAAGAGAAAAUGUAUUUUUUGUCCUAAAACGCAACAUAUGGGAGCCAUUGGUGUCAAUAUUAUUUUAUUUAUGUUUAUUUGGCAUUCCCUAUCUUAUUGUCUAUCAUGGUGGUUUUUUCUUUGGUCUUUUUCUUUUUAUUUGUUGUGUCCUUUGUUUUUAUGUCAAGGUCUUUGUGAAUGAAGGUGUUACAUUUUCUAAUUAUACACAAAAUGUUUUUUAUAUUCUUAAACACUACAUAUGGAAGCCAUUGUUUUUAAUAUUAUUUUAUUUGGGUAUAUUUGGCACUCCCUGACUUAUUGUAUACUAUGAUGUUUUUUCUUUUGUCUUUUUCUUUUUUCUGUCCUUUGUUAUAAUAUGUUUCUUUGUGGAUGAAUUAAUUACAUUUUCUAAAUUAACAGAAAAUAAGUUUUAUCACCAAAAAGCUAUAUUUGGGAACCACUGUUGUUAAUAUUACUUUGUUUGCGCUCAUAUAGCACUCUUUGGGCUAUUUUGUACUAUGGUGUUGUUUUCUUUUUUGCUACUUUUUUUUAGUUUUAUCUCAAGAAAGUAUCACUUACAUAGUCCUAGGCAUCUACAUCACAAAAUCAACUCCAACAUUUGGAAGAAGGUGCACAAGUAGACCAUUGCCUUAUAACAGUCAAAUCAAAAAUGCAACUACAUUCCUUGAGAAAGAUUAUAAGGUAAGGAGUAAAGGAGAGUGUAAGAGAAGAAGUAGAGAAAACAAAACAAAAAAAACCUAAUAAAGUUAGAAAUGUAAACUGUCUGUAUACUAGAUUGCCCUUCAGUAAUCAUCAGAGAAGAUGGGCACAUAGACUGCCUGAUGCAUUAGUUUACACUACACCACUUUUUGCCCCCAACGUCAAUCUUAGAACAUCCAACGUUCUAAGAUUGUCGCUUGUGAUGUGUGUUACAGUGGAUCAUCGUUGCCACUCCCAUCUAAAUCAGAGGUCUUCCCCAACUGGGAGCAUUAACACAGCCUGUGGAUUGUGACCGGUAGCCAAUCAGAAAGCACGGAUUCCCCUCCUUGCUUUCUGAGGGGAAACACGGAGGAGAAUCCCAAACAGCUGACACGGCGCCAGCUGACAUCGGAGAUGAUUAUUGGAAACAACAUGAAUGUUCAUUCAACAUUUUGUGCAAAGAAAAUAUAAAUAGAAACAAGGGGAGGAGUUGGAGUGAAAUUUCUACCGCCGUUGAUAAACCCAGUAACUUUUCAGCUGUUCUCUGUUAACGUGACCUAAAUAGGUUACAAUGAUUUUCUUCAGUCAGGACUGAUACUCGUCUGAACACAACCGCUGAGGCGUCAUGAUGAAUCAGUCAUGUGAACUGGAACUAUCUCUUAUGUAUGUGUAGAGCCUCAUGUCCCCUUUUGACCUUGGUUGUCGUUGCCAAAUGGACAUCUAUAAGCUAAUAUAAAUAUAAAACUACUGCCUUUGCUAUGACGUGAAUACGAGGGUGGACCUGUAGCACAAGAACUAUGUUUUAAACGAAGGGUGGAAGUGUAGCGUUUUGUUGUCUUACCCGUCUGGAUAAUUUUGGGUGUAUUACUUCAUAUACAGUGCCUUUCAAGAGUAUUCACAUGGUGGUGGCGGUAUAUACCUGUGGUGAUACAGGACUGGGGGAAAAAGAGAACUAUUGCAGUAUGCAGAAGGUGUGCUAGGUGUCUAGUGUUAAAAUGGUCCUGUCAAAGUCUGCGUCUAAAUCCAGCUGAGAUUUUUUCCAUGUAAUCUCACUGAGCUUCAACAGCCAAAAAUGUCAGCCUCCUGAUCUUGUACAUUCAUCUUACACAUUAUAAGCUGCAAUCAAAACUGAAAUGUAAACACAUGUAUCAUUCUGCUUUCCUUUCCAAUGAUCUGGUACUUUAUGUUGGGUUUCCACACAGCAUCUACUUGUAAAGCUUUAAAGAGUGAGACGGUAACAUGAAUGCUUUUGUAAGGCACUGUAGCUGUCGUGGAAUGAUGUGCAUUUAGUUUGUUUUAUUUUGUGUCUGAGCUUAGUAAGGCAUGAUUAUGAAAAUACAAGAGUGGAUUUUUAGUUUGUGACACACUGAGGGCUUCCAUGUGUAAAUAUUGUCAAAAAUGACAGGAGGGAAACCUAAAACUCAACUUUUUGUAAAUCUGAUGACAUUCCAUUGGUUUGAUUCAAGGGACUGCAUAUAACUCAGAUCAAGAUUUCUUUUUUUAAAGGUUUUAUAAUAAUUGUAAAAUGUUCACCGGGCAGAAGCUGAUCCUGACCGUCUUCUUUGUUUUCAGGUGAAACUUUUUACAUUAUUUUAACUUCCAUUAGAAAUUCUUGGAUAAAAAUGGAAAACUAAAGAAUAAAGGAAGGACUUUUCUAGACCCAUUAGACUCUAAUGGUGCUCGAUACAGAUCGCGAUCUACCGGUCACAGCCGCUGGAGUUUCUGAACGUUCAAUAAACGACAGACUUGGACUAAUUACCUCGUUCGUUUGCAGUAAACGUCACAACAAACGUCAUAUAGGACACAUAUAUUUGAUUAAAUUUUAACAAACAAAUGGCUUCUACCACAAUAAUUGUGUCAAAUUACAUUAAUUAUAUCCCAAGUUCAGAAGAUUUGCCUUUACCUCUGCAGAGCUCUUUUCUUCCUCCUGUCAGUCUGCAGUUUCGCAUAGUGACGUCAUCAAACCAAAUUUCAGAUAAUACCAUAACUGACUGACACCUGCUGGCCUCAGGUUUGCAACCAGCUUCUGACUGAGAAACCAGUAACCUGCUCCCAGUGAGGAAGAAACUGCAUUAGGUUUUCUAUCAUUUCUGAUAUAACUGAUGUACAGUAUAUUUGCAUAGAAAAUUAGUCAAUAGGGUUUAAUUUAUAAUUUGUAUGUCUUCAUGCCAUGAGGUAGAUCUCAGACGGCUGGUGAGAGAAAAAGUAGAUCUUGGUCUCAAAAAGUUUGAGCGACCCUGCAUUAGAGCUUUUGCUGGCCAGUGCUAACAGUUACAUGUAACUAUCUUUAUUAUUAAUUUCACUUCUGUUCGAUUGCUGCUUUUUGCUAAAUGUUGUGGGUUUUCUGGCAUUUAUUUAUUUAAAUGUGCACCUCCAAUAAACAUGGAAAAAACUGAGCAUAAUCUUACAGUGAUACACUCUUCUACCCUGUACUAUGACAUGCAACAGUUAUUUUAAUUCAAUGGGUCAUAAAUGAGUGUUGUUUUUAUUGUUGUUAUUUCCAGACAACAAAAUCUUUAGCACCAACAUAAAAAUAUGAAAACUAGUGAGAGAGAUUAGAAUGUAUGUGCGAAUUGUCAUUUUACAACUGUAUUGAAAUAAACUGCACUGUUGUAUGGA